This 490-nucleotide ribosomal RNA is filed under the name uncultured bacterium. Its description in RNAcentral is "bacterial SSU rRNA". It matches the Rfam family "Bacterial small subunit ribosomal RNA", at positions 903 to 1397 of the family's 1533-position model. The record is from RNAcentral.
AAAGGAAUAGACGGGACCCCGCACAAGCGGUGGAGCAUGUGGUUUAAUUCGAUGCAACGCGAAGAACCUUACCAGGGCUUGACAUGGCAUUAAAGGGUCUAGAGAUAGAUAGAUAGUUAUAAUGCACACAGGUGGUGCAUGGUUGUCGUCAGCUCGUGUCGUGAGAUGUUGGGUUAAGUCCCGCAACGAGCGCAACCCCUGUCCUUAUUUGCCAUCAUUAAGUUGGGAACUAUAAGGAGACUGCCGGUGAUAAACCGGAGGAAGGUGGGGAUGACGUCAAAUCAUCAUGCCCCUUAUGUCCUGGGCUACACACGUGCUACAAUGGCCGGUACAGAGAGAAGCAAGACCGUGAGGUGGAGCAAAACUCUUAAAGCCGGUCCCAGUUCGGAUUGAAGUCUGCAACUCGACUUCAUGAAGACGGAAUCGCUAGUAAUCGCGAAUCAGCAAUGUCGCGGUGAAUACGUUCCCGGGGUUUGUACACACCGCCCGU